Long non-coding RNA from Schistocerca cancellata (South American locust), 787 nucleotides. RefSeq lists it as uncharacterized. The record is from RefSeq and is a predicted model, not a curated record. NCBI's taxonomy places the organism in Eukaryota, Metazoa, Arthropoda, Insecta, Orthoptera, Acrididae. The transcript has 4 exons.
AAUGUGCAACUGCUUAUUAUUAGAUAAGAACUUAACGAGCAUUACUUGACUUCGACCUUGAAUACUACAAAAUGAUGUGCUGCUUGCCUCUAAUAUUUGACCCAAAUAAUAAUAACUGAUGGCACGAAUCUGUUAAAAUUCAAGGAAUGGAAAUGCCACGAAAGACAUUGUUUCCGUAGGAAACCACUUUAUUGUAUUAAGAAAUCAGUUCCAUAAUUCUGCGUAAGUGUUCAUCGAAUAUUGUCUCAGUGGAGGAAUUUGCGGUACUGGCAUGGCUUUGACCAAUGUCUUAAUUUUAAUGGAUGCGUAGUCACUUCAAGUGUGAGAGACAAAACACUGUCUCUUCUGUGUCGCCAGAAUUCAAAAAAUUUCGUCAGUUGAUAUUGAAUUCUGCGUUCUACAUUCCUGCUGAAGUUAAACCUGUUUACAAGAAGGGGGAUGAAGAGAUACCAUCAAACUAUCGACCAGUUUCACUUUUUCCGGCUUUCUCAGAAAUAUAGAUUUAUCAUCAUGCCAAUGAUAACAGUUGUGAUAUAGGAUUUGUCAGGAUACAAUUCAACAAAAAUGUAGAAAUGAGGCAACCAUUGAAUAAGAAACAACUGGUUGUGUGAAGCAAGAUGAAGCAUAUGAGAUCGACUUGAAAGCAAGUCCCGUGGAGAUGGCCAAAUGAGAACAUGCUUCCGGUAUUACAUGCCUACAGCUUCAUUAUUUUAUUCACAAAUUUUUUACCUGACAGGGUUGAAGCUUUGGUGCUUCUUUCUACAUGCAUCCAGAUGGUCCCUAAGAA